UCCGACUCCCUCUCAUGAGAAUUUACCCUUCGAUAUGAGACUGACUGAUUGAUUUAAGAUAACUGAGCGAUUAUUAACUAACUGAUCACUAGUGAAUAAUUGUAUAAUUAUUAACCAUACCUAGGGAAUCCCGAGACCCUGGGCGAACGGAAUUUCCCGAGACCCUGGUCUGGUUGAUGGUAGGCGCUGGCAUCCCGGUGCCUGGAGCCCCGACUGAAGUCUGUUGAUGGUAGGCGGCCGGGGGCACUAGCAUCCUGGUGCACGGUGUCCCGGCUGGAGCCGGUUGCUGAAAUCACUGCUGUGGUUCCUAGAGGUGUAUGACUGGAGGUGAUGGCAUCUCCGUGCCGGGAGCCCCUAUUGGGACUGGCUGCUGUAUAAUUUUUUCGACAUGGGACCUUGCUGAAGUGGGGUAACGCUGUGAUCAGCUGUUCUUGUGAGGUGAAUUCUCGGGUGAAAUGUUCCCGAUUGUUGAGAUUAAGCGGACCACGGAAGAGAUGGAGUUAAGCUGGACUCACCGACUUCCUGGCCGGCUUUAUAAUUGUGGAAAACGGAGUCUCAGCAUGGAGACGGAAGAGAAGAGUUCGUCUUCUGGUGCAGGGUCUGCUGCCUUGGACAUUGAAAAUGACUGUCGUGAGUUCAUCAGAAUAAUUCAUUGUCUGUUGGCGAUUUACCGACACUUCUCGAAGAGGAAAAGGACAACCAAUUUCAACCUGGGGAAUGUGGAACGCCAUCUUCACCAGAAAUGGAUCACAGGAGCCCACUGACAUGGCAUUCUCAGCUCAGCUCUAAGGUCAAGUUUAGGAGUACAAUAAUUAAUAGUUUGCCAGUGACACAUGGACUGAUGAUAAAGGUGUUUAUUCCAAGCAGGAACUGACUGGGACAAAAAUUCUACCCUGGCACUGUAGCCAAACCAGCCCACAUUACAACGCCCACGCAUCCCCACCCAUGAAAACAUGCAUUCAUUACUUAAAUUUGUAUUCAGUUGGUGAAAUAACAGCACCAUAUGUAACGCAUUUAAGUAUUUAAUGCAUACAACUGGCAAACAAUGCUUAGGCUACUACUAUUUAAAGAGAACAUGUUUAUUACAAAUUUACACAAAGUGAAGUCUACUACUGUAGAGUUAAUUACAAACCCCAAAUACAUGUGUGUGUCACUGUUUUCUCCCUACCUCUACCACACUCCUCCCUGUCUCUGCUAGGCCUACAGUAGCAUCCGUCCUCACUGCACUGGUACCGGAAGACCAGUGGUCUCUGGCUGUACUGAUUCCAGCAACAUCCUAAUUAAUGAACUCAGUAUAGCAUGUACACAUUGCAGCAAAAUGUUUUCUCACUGACUGGUCUAAACCUUGGAGUACAGAUGAAUAAACAAGUAAUAACAACAGCACAAAAGGCAAUAGAAUAUAUAUACACCUAGCAAAAACUGUAAGUAUUAGCAGCAGUAAUCGUGUGUGAU
This is a long non-coding RNA of Micropterus dolomieu (smallmouth bass), 1452 nucleotides long. RefSeq lists it as uncharacterized. The record is from RefSeq and is a predicted model, not a curated record. The transcript has 3 exons. Lineage: Eukaryota; Metazoa; Chordata; Actinopteri; Centrarchiformes; Centrarchidae.